UAGGGAAUAUUGCGCAAUGGACGCAAGUCUGACGCAGCGACGCCGCGUGGGUGACGAAGGCCUUCGGGUCGUAAAGCCCUGUCGGAAGGGACGAAAAACGGAAUGGCUAACAUCCAUCCGCUUGACGGUACCUUUAAAGGAAGCACCGGCUAACUACGUGCCAGCAGCCGCGGUAAUACGUAGGGUGCAAGCGUUGUUCGGAAUCAUUGGGCGUAAAGCGCGUGUAGGUGGCUAGUUAAGUCUGUUGUGAAAUCCCUCGGCUCAACCAAGGAAGUGCAUCAGAAACUAGCUGGCUAGAAGAUGGUAGAGGUAGGUGGAAUUCCAAGUGUAGAGGUGAAAUUCGUAGAUAUUUGGAGGAAUACCGGCGGCGAAGGCGGCCUACUGGGCCAUUCUUGACACUGAGACGCGAAAGCGUGGGGAGCAAACAGG
RNAcentral lists this ribosomal RNA (429 nucleotides) under uncultured bacterium. RNAcentral's name for it is "bacterial SSU rRNA". It matches the Rfam family "Bacterial small subunit ribosomal RNA", at positions 355 to 776 of the family's 1533-position model. The record is from RNAcentral.